GCCCAGGUAGCUCAGUUGGUAGAGCAUGCGACAGAAAAUCGCAGUGUCGUAGUGCGAUUCCACCCCUGGGCACCA
RNAcentral lists this transfer RNA (75 nucleotides) under Bradyrhizobium arachidis. RNAcentral describes it as "tRNA-Phe". It matches the Rfam family "tRNA". From Rfam's summary of the family: Transfer RNA (tRNA) molecules are approximately 80 nucleotides in length. The record is from RNAcentral. Lineage: Bacteria; Pseudomonadati; Pseudomonadota; Alphaproteobacteria; Hyphomicrobiales; Nitrobacteraceae. RNAcentral also lists the same sequence under 1 other name.